RNAcentral lists this long non-coding RNA (681 nucleotides) under Solanum tuberosum (potato). RNAcentral describes it as "long non-coding RNA (STUB_LNC001246)". The record is from RNAcentral. Lineage: Eukaryota; Viridiplantae; Streptophyta; Magnoliopsida; Solanales; Solanaceae.
UUUUAUUCAAGAACCUUCUUAAGUUUGGUCCUUGUUCACCAGAGGUGCAUAGUAGUUGUCGAUGCAGAAGCUCAGAGUUUGCAGAAAUCAUCACAGCACAACUGAUGUUGAAGCAGGAUAAGAAAUCAUUCUGCCACCUAAGCCAAUGAUGGACUUCUCCAGAACUCUCUCUGUGCAUACAAAGAGUUCUUGCUAAAGGAGAGCAGUACUUGCAACCUAUUCUAAGUUCUAAUAGCACAAGACUUGAGGUGGGAGUCAACUGCUUUAGUCAUUUUGAAGGCUAGGUGUAUUGCAUAUUUGUUUAGUUGGUCCAAGUUGUAUCCAGCUGUAAAUGCAGAACAACUUCAGGAUUUUAUUAACUCACUAGUUCUGGCUAAGAUAGUUUGUUUAGUUAGCCAGAGAAUUAUUGUAAGCUCAAAUGCCAUAUCUUGUAAUUCUUGCAUCUUCUUGAUGUUGUUACUAAUACCACUUAAUAUAUCAAAAAAAAUAAUAGCACAAGACUUGAGGUGGGAGUCAACUGCUUUAGUCAUUUUGAAGGCUAGGUGUAUUGCAUAUUUGUUUAGUUGGUCCAAGUUGUAUCCAGCUGUAAAUGCAGAACAACUUCAGGAUUUUAUUAACUCACUAGUUCUGGCUAAGAUAGUUUGUUUAGUUAGCCAGAGAAUUAUUGUAAGCUCAAAUGCC